This is a long non-coding RNA of Olea europaea var. sylvestris, 495 nucleotides long. RefSeq lists it as uncharacterized. The record is from RefSeq and is a predicted model, not a curated record. The transcript is spliced from 2 exons. NCBI's taxonomy places the organism in Eukaryota, Viridiplantae, Streptophyta, Magnoliopsida, Lamiales, Oleaceae.
UUAUUUAUUUAUUUAUUUAUUUUUCCCUUUGCAGGCUGAGAGUGCUAUUGCGGCUCUUAACUGCAGUGGUGCAGUCUUAGGAUCACUGCCGAUAAGGGUAAGCCCGUCGAAGACCCCUGUUCGACCACGAUCACCUUGCCAAUCCAUGCACUGAACUGCUUGUGGAGUUUCUCUUGAACUGGUCUUCUGAUCAAGCACUCUCCUUGAGUACGUACAUAAAUAGAUACCAGUACUUUGUGGUAUUUAUGUUUUUAUUUUCUCCGUUGCAUCUCAGCUGGGACGGUUUCAUCUGCAAGGGAUAAUUAUGGUCGCCUUUUUAGCUUGUAGAGUAGGAUCCUUUUUGAGGCUUAAACUUGGUUAUGCAAUUAUGUUGAGUACUGGAAAGGCAGUGCCUCGAAGUAAUAUACUGUUCCUUGCUUCCAACUUCUUAAGUUAAAAAUUUAGUUGCAAAUUUCUGUCUUUUCUAUGCCAAGUCAUUUGUUAUGAAUGUCUCUA